This 378-nucleotide ribosomal RNA is filed under the name Triticum aestivum (bread wheat). RNAcentral's name for it is "partial small subunit ribosomal RNA". The record is from RNAcentral. Lineage: Eukaryota; Viridiplantae; Streptophyta; Magnoliopsida; Poales; Poaceae.
AUGAAUGCCUCCGGUGGUGUACCGGGAUGGUGCAAUGAAUCAAGAGUGACAUGUAUGAAAAAUUAUGCAUGGUGGCUUUGCCACAAAUACAAUUUUAACUACAUGAUCAUGCAAUGGCAAUAUGACAAAAGUAAAGUAUGUCAUGAUGAUGAUGAACGGGACGGUGGAAAGUUGCAUGGCAAUAUAUCUCGGAAUGGCUAUGGAAAUGCCAUAAUAGGUACGUAUGGUGUCUGUUUUGAGGAAGAUAUCAGGAGGUUUAAGUGUGAUAGAGCGUAUCGUAUCAUGUGGUUUGGAUGCACCGGCAAAGUUUGCACCAACUCUCAAGGUGAGAAAGGGCAAUGCACGGUACCGAAGAGGCUAGCAAUGGUGGAAAGGUAA